UACGUAGGGGGCUAGCGUUGUCCGGAAUCAUUGGGCGUAAAGCGCGCGUAGGCGGCCCGGUAAGUCCGCUGUAAAAGUCAAAGGCUCAACCUUUGAAUGUCAGUGGAUACUGCCGGGCUAGAGUCCGGAAGAGGCGAGUGGAACUCCUGGUGUAGCGGUGGAAUGCGCAGAUAUCAGGAAGAACACCGACGGCGAAGGCAGCUCGCUGGGACGGUACUGACGCUGAAGCGCGAAAGCGUGGGGAGCGAACAGG
Molecule: ribosomal RNA, 253 nt
Filed under: uncultured bacterium
Lineage: Bacteria
Description: partial 16S ribosomal RNA
Rfam family: Bacterial small subunit ribosomal RNA
Source: RNAcentral